RNAcentral lists this ribosomal RNA (486 nucleotides) under uncultured bacterium. RNAcentral describes it as "partial 16S ribosomal RNA". It matches the Rfam family "Bacterial small subunit ribosomal RNA", at positions 30 to 507 of the family's 1533-position model. The record is from RNAcentral.
AUUGAACGCUGGCGGCAUGCCUUACACAUGCAAGUCGAACGGCAGCACGGGUGCUUGCACCUGGUGGCGAGUGGCGAACGGGUGAGUAAUACAUCGGCACAUGUCCUGUAGUGGGGGAUAGCCCGGCGAAAGCCGGAUUAAUACCGCAUACGAUCCACGGCUGAAAGCGGGGGACCUUCGGGCCUCGCGCUAUAGGGUUGGCCGAUGGCUGAUUAGCUAGUUGGUGGGGUAAAGGCCUACCAAGGCGACGAUCAGUAGCUGGUCUGAGAGGACGACCAGCCACACUGGAACUGAGACACGGCCCAGACUCCUACGGGAGGCAGCAGUGGGGAAUUUUGGACAAUGGGCGAAAGCCUGAUCCAGCAAUGCCGCGUGUGUGAAGAAGGCCUUCGGGUUGUAAAGCACUUUUGUCCGGAAAGAAAUCCUUGACUCUAAUACAGUCGGGGGAUGACGGUACCGGAAGAAUAAGCACCGGCUAACUACGUG